Long non-coding RNA from Centruroides sculpturatus (bark scorpion), 275 nucleotides. RefSeq lists it as uncharacterized. Lineage: Eukaryota; Metazoa; Arthropoda; Arachnida; Scorpiones; Buthidae. The transcript has 3 exons. The record is from RefSeq and is a predicted model, not a curated record.
UUUCAAUUGUACUUGAGCUUUUUACAUGAUAAAUGAAAAGAUUAUUUCAAUUAAGUUCUCCUAAUGCAAUAUUUAUGUUCGUUAAACUAUUUAAUAGAAUUUAAUAUUACAAUGAAAAUCAUUAGAAAAUAAACACGCUAUUCACGAAAAUUUUAGGAAGAAUCCUUUGACCGAAUUGUGAUAAGGUAUCAACCAACUGUAAAUCUUUAGUUUCCGGUAAAAAUAAGGUCAAAAUACUAUUAAUAAUAGAAAGUGUGCCAAACAAAGCAAAGGGA